GUGUUUCUCUAAUUUUUUUGCACAUGUUUUCAGUAUCAAAAUAUAUUUAAUAAGAUUAUUUUAAUAAUAUCCACAUGUAAAUAACAGCAUAUGGUGCUUGAUAUAACAAUAGUUUGUUUAUGAUAGUGUCAAACAAAGGGACGUAACUCGUGAAUUACCGUCGGCCCCGCUUCGUCAGAAAUAUCGACACAUCGAAGUGGCACAUUUGCGUAUCUUAGCAUAUCAACUGGCACAAAUUUGACAUAUCAUAGUCCAAGUUAUGUUACAUAACAUAAUUUAAAUUCAGCAUAGCUUCCCGAGAAGUUAAGAAAGAAAAUUACGAUUUUAAUUUUCUGUGACCAAUUUUUUUCGUCAACACCUUGACUUUGAAGACAC
This 375-nucleotide long non-coding RNA is filed under the name Mytilus galloprovincialis (Mediterranean mussel). Lineage: Eukaryota; Metazoa; Mollusca; Bivalvia; Mytilida; Mytilidae. The record is from RNAcentral.